UUUGGUCUCGCUCCCGGCGGAAAACUAUCCGUAGGGGCGCUUUCGCUGGCGCGGGGUCUAUGCCGCUGAAGCAGCUCUUAAGGAAAAGGCGAGAUUCGUUGUGCCGACGCUACCAUCUGCUACAGUGGAUUCGCUGGAGCGGUACACUUCCGCCGAAGCAGAAGUCUAUAACUUUAGAAAAAUAAAAGAGUCGAUCCCCAACGUUACAACCUCUCAACGUCCCUCCCACUACAAUAAAACUCUCUCUUAACCCACUCUAGUCACACACACUCCUAAACACACAAAAUCUUCCACAACAACAGAGGGCAAAAAUCUCUAACAACGAGGGUUUCUCAUUCUCGACUCAAUCUUCUCCGAAUCAUCAAAUCAAGACUUUGCUCAUUCGGAGGCGAUUCGAAAGCGAAAGACUCAAGUUGGAUAGUUCAUGGCUCCUAUUCGGCACCGAGGCAGAGUUUGUCACCGAUUCCAGUUCGCGACCUCGCAAGGGAAUCCGAGACCACUUCCAGGAGAUCUCGAGGGUGACCACUUGCCGGAUCUGCAGCCCCGGAUCCCCUCUCUGCUUAUCUGUCUAUCUUCUUUUACUCGGACAAACUUAUUACGUAUUUUGAGGCUUGGACUAGUAUUUCAGACAUUGUUUUAGUAUUAGAAGCUCUUGUACGAGUUCGAACCAGGUUUUGGGGUUUGUAUUUUUUUAUAUUUCUGCACUUAUGUUAUUUAUAUAUCUAU
This is a long non-coding RNA of Lycium barbarum (goji berry), 726 nucleotides long. RefSeq lists it as uncharacterized. Lineage: Eukaryota; Viridiplantae; Streptophyta; Magnoliopsida; Solanales; Solanaceae. The transcript has 3 exons. The record is from RefSeq and is a predicted model, not a curated record.